GAGAAAGCUAAGUGUUGAUGACAGUGUGGGCCUGACCGUGCCUGAGUAAGCCCCAUGGGAACACAGCCGUGGUGGGAAGCAGCUUCCCAGCAGCCCUCCCCGCCAUCGGGAGAAUCCCCUGAGGCCAUGAGAGGGUCUCAGGGAGGUGGACGGCCCAUCAAGUGAGAACCGAGGGCACUGUGCACUCCUGAAUCCUAGGACUCCUCUUAGGUCAUUGACUAACAACAUCAACAAUGAAAUGAAUCUGAGAAAACAGGAAAUUGAGAGCAAGAGAAAAAAAAGUUAAUUAUACUGAUUUUGUAUAAGACCCCUUUGAACACAUUUUUAAAAAAUCAAAUAGAAGGUGCCCAGGUCCACUGUGCCUUGUGAAUAUUUGUCUUGUAUAUCCUAGAGAUCUACGCAUUCAUGUGGGAAUUGAAAAGGACCCACAUUUUACUAGAAGCAUCGUUCAUUUUUGCCUCAAAACAAUGCCCACAUGUCAGAAGAACUUUCACAAUUCACAGGAACAGUGACCUAAUUAACCAACCAUAAAAUUGCCAAAUCCCUACUUCUCAUUGUUUAAUAUGCUUAGAAAACCCAUUCAAAUUGUGAAUUAUCAAGUGAGCUUACACUGAUAAAUAGAUCCAAUAUUUAGGAAUUUUUAAAUCUUCCAUUCCUUUUUUUUUUUUGUCUUUUUAAAAAUAGAACAUUAGAAUAUGUCCUCCAGGUUUUAGAGAUGGGGGAGACAUGCUUCCCUUUAUUUCUCAGUAACUCAGCCAAAAAAAAUCUGGAGAGAAUGCAAAGACAGCUACUGGAAACUUUGAAAAGUAGAUGUGAGCCCAUCAGGGAAGAGCUAGAGAAUCUGAAAUCUACUCGAAAAAGUGAGUUUGAUACUUUGUGUUCCUAUCCUAACUCCACACAGCCUGAAACUUGGAAGUGAGCAUGAUGGAGUGGAUACAGUGAGAUGCAGAAGAAAUCCUCCAGUUUGGGCUGGAAGGGAAAAAAGAGACCCCUAAAACUCAGAGACAGUGGAAGAAAUUCCUGGUGUUUUUUUCUUCUCUUUUUCUCUGUUCUUCCACAUAGCAAUUUAGUAUUGACUACAGCAUCUCUGUUACAAUGAUAGCACCGAAAUGUUGUAACCAUAUGGCCUGCAAAGCCAAAAAUACUUAUCUGACCAUCUACAGGAAAAGUUUGCUGAUCUGGAUGAAAUAUUCUGAUACUAAAUAUUCCAUUUUGAGGCUGAUAUUCCUAAUCUAUUCAUAAGGAUGGCAUAUCUACCCAGUGGGCCUGCUGGGACUCCAGUUACCCGAUGCACAUACAUUGCUUGGUGUGAAUGUACAAAGAGACCAAGAAAACCUCAGUCAAACUUGGAAAUUUCCUUUGUAAUAUUCUUUUUAAAGUUAGUUAUGUGGCAGUUUCGUGUGCAUUUUUGGUGAUGAUGCUCCACGGAACAUCUGCAGAUGUGCUGUCAAUUUGGACAGCUCUGACUACCGAGUGAAUGGGAAGUACUAACGAGAACUGUCUGCUUGGGAACUCCAUGAAGUUCGUGGCUUUUGUGAUUGAAAUAGCAUCAAUAAAAGGUUGACACUGUGGAACAACACAAGCCUGCAUGGACCUGGUUAUCUCUGACCUCGCACCACUCAUGAGACCAUACCUGAGCCCUACUCCACUUUGGCAGAACUGUUGCAUGGCCUCUCUUCAUAUAAUACCUCUCCGUACACCGUACACCGCAGCUCAAAGAAAGGAUAUAUGCUCCCUGUGAAGACUAAUGGAACUGUCCCUCCUGAUCCUCCUACAGACUUCCUCUGGCCUAAUGGGUGCACCAUUGCAUUAUAUCUGCCAUCUAUACACACAUAUACCUUUCAACCCUGCACUCUCUGAGAUGACUGGACUCAUGCCUAAAUAACUGAUGCUGUCCCUAGUGUAAGGUAAGCACUCAAUAGUUUCUCAGGAAAUGAAUAUGAUAAAUAUUUUGGCUGUUUAGAGGCUUUCCUUCACUUCAUUUUCUGUGUCCUCUUAUUUAAAAAGAAGUGCUCACUA
Molecule: long non-coding RNA, 2019 nt
Filed under: Homo sapiens (human)
Lineage: Eukaryota; Metazoa; Chordata; Mammalia; Primates; Hominidae
Description: HSALNT0380286
Source: RNAcentral